AGACGGAGGGGGCUAGCGUUAUUCGGAAUGACUGGGCGUAAAGCGCGCGUAGGCGGCUUAUUAAGUCAGAUGUGAAAUCCCCGGGCUCAACCUAGGAACUGCAUCUGAUACUGGUAAGCUAGAGUUUUGGAGAGGGAAGUAGAAUUUCAGGUGUAGCGGUGAAAUGCAUAGAGAUCUGAAGGAAUACCAGUGGCGAAGGCGACUUCCUGGCCAAAAACUGACGCUGAGGUGCGAAAGCGUGGGUAGCAAACGGGAUUAGAUACCCCAGUAGUCC
Molecule: ribosomal RNA, 274 nt
Filed under: uncultured bacterium
Lineage: Bacteria
Description: partial 16S ribosomal RNA
Rfam family: Bacterial small subunit ribosomal RNA
Source: RNAcentral